GAUGAACGCUGGCGGCGUGCCUAAUACAUGCAAGUCGAGCGAACGGACGAGAAGCUUGCUUCUCUGAUGUUAGCGGCGGACGGGUGAGUAGCACGUGGAUAACCUACCUAUAAGACUGGGAUAACUUCGGGAAACCGGAGCUAAUACCGGAUGAUAUUUUGAACCGCAUGGUUCAAAAGUGAAAGACGGUCUUGCUGUCACUUAUAGAUGGAUCCGCGCUGCAUUAGCUAGUUGGUGAGGUAACGGCUUACCAAGGCAACGAUGCAUAGCCGACCUGAGAGGGUGAUCGGCCACACUGGAACUGAGACACGGUCCAGACUCCUACGGGAGGCAGCAGUAGGGAAUCUUCCGCAAUGGGCGAAAGCCUGACGGAGCAACGCCGCGUGAGUGAUGAAGGUCUUCGGAUCGUAAAACUCUGUUAUUAGGGAAGAACAUAUGUGUAAGUAACUGUGCACAUCUUGACGGUACCUAAUCAGAAAGCCACGGCUAACUACGUG
This 497-nucleotide ribosomal RNA is filed under the name uncultured bacterium. RNAcentral's name for it is "partial 16S ribosomal RNA". It matches the Rfam family "Bacterial small subunit ribosomal RNA", at positions 28 to 507 of the family's 1533-position model. The record is from RNAcentral.